Bos grunniens (domestic yak) is the source of this 1284-nucleotide long non-coding RNA. NCBI's taxonomy places the organism in Eukaryota, Metazoa, Chordata, Mammalia, Artiodactyla, Bovidae. The record is from Ensembl.
CUUAAAAUAAACCUGCCUUUUUCCAUUUAGCAUUUUAUCAAAUGAAUGUAAUUUCAUUUGCUGAUGAAUUUAGUUCAGCUUCAAGGGAAUUUUUCUCUUCUUCAUGGGGAGCCUGAAGAAUCAGAACUGUCAUGCCAAAGAAAGAGAAGCAAGCGUAGGGAGGAAAAAAACAAGUCUGAUAUUUAUACGGACUCAUCUAUUGCUGAAACUGCUCACCUUCAACAACAAAAUGAACUUCAUAGCAAGAUCUUAUCCCCAAAAUGGCUUAUUCCUAGGAAUAAGGCUUGUUGAGCAGACUUGCGGGCUCUACCCAAGUAACACCCAGCCCAGGACAGAAGUGAGGUAUGUCUGAAAAUGAGGUGGAGAGGAGCAUCAGAACAACAGUGAGUCAGCCAUGAAAUGGAUUUAUGAUUCAGUUUAAUCCUCCUUACCUUUGAAUAUUAUGAGCAAUAUAUGCCAUUAUGAUAGCUAUUUAGGGUGAAAUGAUUAAUUAAAACUAUCUGAUAAGACUAAGCAUACUGUCUAACCUGAUUUAAGGCAAAUUCAUCUACUUCAACUAAAAAUACUGAACAGGAAAAUUAAAAAGGUGAACAAGGAAAUAAAAACCCUUUAGGUCUUAUUUCCACUAUAUAUUUCCUAAGUGACCUAAGGAAAGUAUCAUUCAAACAGAGUCACAGUGUAUUUUAAAUUUUUAUUAGUAAGAGUUUGGAGUACAAAUAAAUUUAACUUGACAUUUAGAAAAAAAUGUAUCCAUUAAGGUUUGUUCAUAAAGAAAAACCUGUUCUGUACAUCUCCAAUUUUAAUGCUUAACUCCAUAAUGCUUCUAAGGCUAUAACUUAAUUUUAGAUUUAAUUUUAACAAUUCUGCCUUAUUACAUCUGGUUAAAAAGACUGGAAAACAUCAAGUAGAAAAAAAUGACCUGAAUUUAAAACUUUACUAAAGGACUUUUUAAAGAAAAAGCCUUUAAUAAAAACAGCCUAAAAAUUAGAAUACUUUGGCUUUAAAAUUAGCAGCUAUGAAAAAAUUAACAUUAGAUAAUAUCAAGGACUGCAUUACAAAAAUAUUGUGGUUUACAUAUAUUAGAAUGAUUUACAACAUAGUAAAUGCUUAUUUAUAUCAAUCCAAAAAUCUCUUUAUAAAAAAAUUUGAUAUAGUUUAGCACUUUUGAGAAAUUCAGUUCCUAGUAAGUAACAGGAACACAAGGCCACCUAGGGAGUGGACAAAGGGCAGGGUGGCCUUGCUCCAUGUCCACACCGAGGGUGGGGCAGGGUCUGACUCUUCCUG